CGUCUCAGCAGUUGAGUCGAAGAGAUCCUGUGGAGUACGGGCACACACGCCACCGACCCACCAGCUAUGAAGGUUCUCAUCGUUCUCGCCGUUGCCUGUGCCGCCGCUCACGCCGGUUUCAUCGGUGGUGGCCAUGGAGGAACUUCUACCCAGCACCGUUCUCAAGAUAUCUCCGGCGCCUACAGCUUCGGCUACAA
This is a long non-coding RNA of Rhipicephalus microplus (southern cattle tick), 197 nucleotides long. The record is from RefSeq and is a predicted model, not a curated record. NCBI's taxonomy places the organism in Eukaryota, Metazoa, Arthropoda, Arachnida, Ixodida, Ixodidae.